RNAcentral lists this ribosomal RNA (987 nucleotides) under Microbacterium sp. RNAcentral's name for it is "bacterial SSU rRNA". It matches the Rfam family "Bacterial small subunit ribosomal RNA", at positions 434 to 1431 of the family's 1533-position model. Lineage: Bacteria; Bacillati; Actinomycetota; Actinomycetes; Micrococcales; Microbacteriaceae. The record is from RNAcentral.
UUUUAGCAGGGAAGAAGCGAGAGUGACGGUACCUGCAGAAAAAGCGCCGGCUAACUACGUGCCAGCAGCCGCGGUAAUACGUAGGGCGCAAGCGUUAUCCGGAAUUAUUGGGCGUAAAGAGCUCGUAGGCGGUCUGUCGCGUCUGCUGUGAAAACUGGAGGCUCAACCUCCAGCCUGCAGUGGGUACGGGCAGACUAGAGUGCGGUAGGGGAGAUUGGAAUUCCUGGUGUAGCGGUGGAAUGCGCAGAUAUCAGGAGGAACACCGAUGGCGAAGGCAGAUCUCUGGGCCGUAACUGACGCUGAGGAGCGAAAGGGUGGGGAGCAAACAGGCUUAGAUACCCUGGUAGUCCACCCCGUAAACGUUGGGAACUAGUUGUGGGGUCCUUUCCACGGAUUCCGUGACGCAGCUAACGCAUUAAGUUCCCCGCCUGGGGAGUACGGCCGCAAGGCUAAAACUCAAAGGAAUUGACGGGGACCCGCACAAGCGGCGGAGCAUGCGGAUUAAUUCGAUGCAACGCGAAGAACCUUACCAAGGCUUGACAUACACGAGAACGGGCCAGAAAUGGUCAACUCUUUGGACACUCGUGAACAGGUGGUGCAUGGUUGUCGUCAGCUCGUGUCGUGAGAUGUUGGGUUAAGUCCCGCAACGAGCGCAACCCUCGUUCUAUGUUGCCAGCACGUAAUGGUGGGAACUCAUGGGAUACUGCCGGGGUCAACUCGGAGGAAGGUGGGGAUGACGUCAAAUCAUCAUGCCCCUUAUGUCUUGGGCUUCACGCAUGCUACAAUGGCCGGUACAAAGGGCUGCGAUACCGUAAGGUGGAGCGAAUCCCAAAAAGCCGGUCCCAGUUCGGAUUGAGGUCUGCAACUCGACCUCAUGAAGUCGGAGUCGCUAGUAAUCGCAGAUCAGCAACGCUGCGGUGAAUACGUUCCCGGGUCUUGUACACACCGCCCGUCAAGUCAUGAAAGUCGGUAACACCUGAAGCCGGU